UGGUAUGUUUGGAAGGCUAACUGUUCUGUGGUUGCACACAGCCAGGAGAUCAGCAGCCAGAGCACCAUCUGUGCACGUAGCUUAUGUGUAUGACCCAGCUUCCUCACAAAGGAAUGUGUCAGCUUCUGCUUUUCCAGAUCAAUUGAAAGCCUCCUUCAUGCUCCAGUGAAAUUCUGUGACUGUUCCAUGAAGUCAGAUCUAAUCUCCUUGCCCGGCACGCCCAAUGGAUACAGGUUUCCUUCAGCAAGAAGCUCUUCCUGCAGUGCUGCUUCCACACAUUGGAGCUGGGAAGGUUCAGCAGCUCUUCAGCGUCACCUCACCACCCUGUGAGUUGUGGAAGAAUCAUCUCAGCAUCCUGGAGAACGCAAUGAUAAUGGAAACUAAAGGAGACAUACAGUGAGAUAAAUGCCAAUAGCAGAGGUUCUCUGGAUUUACACAGAUCUAUCCCAGACUUGCACCUAAUCCCCUCCCAAGAAAUUUUUAUGAAUGUGUGCCUUUGGAAUGGGCUCAGACUGACAUUUACAGCUACAAGCAGUGAGAGAGGUCUGUGACAGUAGGGACAACAAAUUAAAGAGUCCCUGAACACUUUUCAGAGAACCAUUGCGUCCAGACAAGAGAUGUUAAGCUACUGUAAGGAGCAUCAUUUCAGGGCCUCACAAUGCAUUUUUAUAAACAUAGGGUCAGACUUCACCACCUGGCAGCCCAGCCCAGCUACUUUCCCUUCCUCUAUCCCAGAAGGUGCAGCAGACGGAGGAGGUCCUGGCUGCAGUGAAGCAAUGGGAUCCUUGAGUCUCGUAGGAGUGGAG
Molecule: long non-coding RNA, 806 nt
Organism: Anas platyrhynchos (mallard)
Lineage: Eukaryota; Metazoa; Chordata; Aves; Anseriformes; Anatidae
Source: RefSeq, a predicted model, not a curated record